Long non-coding RNA from Labeo rohita (rohu), 307 nucleotides. RefSeq lists it as uncharacterized. The transcript has 3 exons. The record is from RefSeq and is a predicted model, not a curated record. Lineage: Eukaryota; Metazoa; Chordata; Actinopteri; Cypriniformes; Cyprinidae.
CUACAUUUUAAACGGGCACGCGCUUUGAACAUUCGAGUUGUAUUUAAACUGGAGCGGAGAGAGUUACCAUGGAAACGGGGAAGCAGCUUAACUGACAAGCGGCGAGUCUCCGUCUGUCACACUGCUUUAUGAUUCUUCCAUGCUGAUGGCAGUACUGCAGUAGAGUUGGAGCAGACCUCCUGUUGAAGAGCAUCUCCAAUGUGCUAUGAACCAUCUGACUAGAAAGCCAUCUCGUUUAACUCAUUAAGGACACUUGGUAUACAGCAACCUACAGAGGGGCCCAACGUAAUGAGAAAACAAGACACAG